This 550-nucleotide ribosomal RNA is filed under the name uncultured Actinomycetes bacterium. RNAcentral describes it as "bacterial SSU rRNA". It matches the Rfam family "Bacterial small subunit ribosomal RNA", at positions 257 to 817 of the family's 1533-position model. The record is from RNAcentral. Lineage: Bacteria; Bacillati; Actinomycetota; Actinomycetes.
GUAAUGGCCUACCAAGGCGAUGACGGGUAGCUGGCGUGAGAGCGCGACCAGCCACACUGGGACUGAGACACGGCCCAGACUCCUACGGGAGGCAGCAGUGGGGAAUAUUGCACAAUGGGCGAAAGCCUGAUGCAGCGACGCCGCGUGAGGGAUGACGGCCUUCGGGUUGUAAACCUCUUUCGCCGGGGACGAAGCCGUGAGGUGACGGUACCUGGAUAAGAAGCACCGGCCAACUACGUGCCAGCAGCCGCGGUAAUACGUAGGGUGCAAGCGUUGUCCGGAAUUAUUGGGCGUAAAGAGCUCGUAGGCGGUUUGUUGCGUCGGCUGUGAAAUCCCGAGGCUCAACCUCGGGUCUGCAGUCGAUACGGGCAGGCUAGAGUUCGGUAGGGGAGAUCGGAAUUCCUGGUGUAGCGGUGAAAUGCGCAGAUAUCAGGAGGAACACCGGUGGCGAAGGCGGAUCUCUGGGCCGAUACUGACGCUGAGGAGCGAAAGCGUGGGGAGCGAACAGGAUUAGAUACCCUGGUAGUCCACGCCGUAAACGGUGGGCACU